Molecule: long non-coding RNA, 11537 nt
Filed under: Selaginella moellendorffii
Lineage: Eukaryota; Viridiplantae; Streptophyta; Lycopodiopsida; Selaginellales; Selaginellaceae
Description: long non-coding RNA (SMOE_LNC002161)
Source: RNAcentral
CACCUCCGCUCCCUCCCAUUACAGUCACACACCCAGCAUGCGUCCAGGAGGCGCUUGUCUCACCAAGGUGAGGGGAAUGAUAAAGGCAACUUUCCAUUUUUCCCUGUCAACUUCAAGAGACUUGAGAGCCGCUUGGAAUUCCCAGAAGUUCAAAGUCUCCACAAGACUUUCAGGGAUGUCGUGUACAGCUGCGAGCAAUCAGCCGUGGUGGUGGCUUGCCCUUGUUCUGGCGAGAAGAUCUGCAAAGAGGAGCGGCUGCAGUGAGUCUUGAAGAUUCGCAGGUCGUUCGGAUUGGGCAUUGGGCAGCACUGGCAAAGGUAGAUUUUCUCCCACUUGACGUGAUGGAGUCUCAUUGGAAUGCACGUCUGGUGAGAUGAUCAGCGCCUUGGAGACAGGAUUGUAGACCUUGUAAGCCUUGUGUUCAAUGCCAUAGCCUAGGAAAAUGCCUCGUUCGCUUGUUGGAGUGAGUUUUUUUUCUAGUUAUAGAGGGGAUAUGAACGCCAUGGAAGGUGCGCUAAUCCAUUCGAAUUCCACUUUGUGCAAGAACCCUUGACAAUCCUGGACCUCAACAUUGGCAAGCACUUAAACGCGUCUUUUGGUACUUCCGAGAUACGUUUUCUUACGGUCUUAAGGCCACGAGUCAAGCUUACUGGGCUGGCUUUGGCUAAAUUGUUUAGCCUUCACAAUGCAGUUAGCAGCAAGAAGAAGAGCGUCGUUGCCUGCUCCAGCUGUGAGGCGGAGGCUAGUUCCGCAUGCAAAGAGGCCAUCUGGCUUCGCCGCCUCCUCAACGACACCCGGCCCAACACCAAUCUACAGUGACAAUCAAGGCUACAUCGCCUCGAGCAAACAUCACAAGAUUAAUUCCCGGACCAAACACGCACCACGCUGGGAGACACGUCCAGUUCUUUCCAUGUUCUUGUGAUUCCAAUCUCGAUAAUGCAAUCUUAAUUGAACAUCACAACAGCCUGGAAAUCGAGUCCGCUGCUUCAUCCCACCAAACAAUCUGAUCUCAUGCACAGCAUGAAACGAACAUUCUCUGUGCCUCUCCUGAUAGAACCAUACAGAACCUUCUCAUGUCCAGCCACUUGAUUAUUCUAUGCAGCACACUCAAAUACGUCCAGGUAAAUCUCGAAAUCCUCUCAAAGUAGGCUAAAGGAGAUACUUUGUCAUCUUGCCAAAAGCCCCUUCUAACACAUGCUUGAGGGUUAGAGAGGGCUUGGGAAGGUGUAGUUUUGGUCUUUCCCUUGAAAGAUCAUGGACCUCACUUCACUACAGUGUCACCUUUAGCCCAUUACAAUGCUGCAUAAAGGGAUCACUGCGUUUGCUCAUUGUGGCGAGGGCGAGAAAGUCCUCGAUGGGAGCGUGGAAGGUGACACUCCGGCCUGCGCCUACAUCAGCUCCGUGAAUCGCAACCAGGAUUUCUUUCUUCUCGUGACAGGGGAUUUUAGGAUCGCGCCAGGCAGGGUCUGCAUGAUCGAUAUCUUCGGCCGUGGCAGGCAACUGGAGAAUGCCGAGGAAUUGCUGCGUGCCAUGCCGUUUGUGCCGGAUGCUCUGGUUUGUAGGGUUUUGGUGGCAUCUUGCCGAUCGCAUUACGAUAUAUUUCGGGCAUUGGAUCGACGUAUGUCCUGGCAAAUCGCUCCAGGAGCGUGUUUAAAAUGGAAAUUGGCGGAAAGCGAUGUGUUUGUUUUUUAUUCUAUCUAGCUGUGCUUACGAAAGUUUCCGAAAGGUAAGAGCUGUAACUUAGUCAAGUCAGCCUCGCAACCUUUGGAGAAACUUUCAAGUCAUGCCGAUGAGCUCUCUCAACUUCUGGAUGAGACCACGGUCGUCAAUCUGGAACGCUUUCGCGAUCACGUCGUCAUUGAUUGGAGGAUUGGAAUCAAACACCGCCUUGGCCACCUGAGUUGCCCCGGGGUUUUGGCUGUUGAAGCCAGCCAUCGCAACCGCAGGCUCCUUUCCAACGUUGAGCUGGAAGUGGACGAGUCCCCGAGGGAAGACGAACAGAUCUCCAGGAUAGAGCAUUUGGGCGAAGAGCUUGUUGUCCGGCAAGGUGGUGACGAAUCCGACUAAGAGGUGCCCGUGCACGAGGAAGAGCAGCUCGGAUCCUCGGGGAUGGACGUGGGGGGGAUUGGUGCCGCCGGGAGCAUAGUCGACGCGGGCAAAAGCUACACCAAAGGUGUUGAGACCGGGGAAAUUGUUGACACUCGCCAGCGUGACGUUGGAGCCGAGCUUGUUGUCGGUGUUCCCGGGAGUCGCCAGCAGGCUCGACUUGAAGUCCUCGGCUUUCACAUCGGCGGCCGCCUUGCAGACGACGCCGUUCACUUUGAUCUUGGAGCCAUUGUCUGCAACGCAAAAGUCCUGCAGCAUAUCUUCAUCCGCGGCAUGCACAAACAAGAUGGAGCUGAUUGCUAGGAGGAAGGAUAGAACAAAACGAAGAUGAGCCAUCUUGCGAGCUUGGAAAAGACUGAUGGAGCUAUAUGAGGGAGGGGCAGGCAUUUUAUAGCCGGAGGAGGGGAGGCGAGGUCCUUUGGAUGACUUCGUCGUGAAUCGUGCACGAUUUUAGCUACAUGGUCUUCUGUUCCCUUCUGUUUCAUUUUUUUACUCUUGCUGUCCGCGUAACAACAAUCUGAUUUGUUUGCUGCCAAGUCGUCUCGGAAGUUUUCUUUUACCGGGCUUGUCUAGAGCCGUCAAAAUCAUCUUUUCUGUGUGUAGAUGAUGACGACCUUGGUUUUGAUGGUAAGAACUGGUCUCAGUGAAACUCGAGUUUUACACGGUCUUGGUAAAAACUUGACACUAAAUUGCUUGGCACCAGAGUUUUAACGGAAUUAUUAUGGAUUGUGUAGGUCCAUUGCUGAUACAAAUAAACCAUGGGUAUAUCGACCAAAGGUACGUCUAUGUAGGUUAUCAAUUUUGCAGACAACUGUGUUGUUAGAAGGAUGGUUGCUCACAUAGUCAUGAGACAUACAUAGUCUUAGUCAUUGUGAUUAUUGCUUGCAUCAUUGUCAUGGGCAAAAUAGAAUGUUUAUUGCUGCCACUUUAUUAAUCAGUUUAAUGAAAUAAACUUAUGAUAUUAAAAAGUUUUAUAAUUUGUCCCACCAGUGCAAUCUAGGAAAGCAUCCAGUUGGGGUGGUGGGAGUGAACUGAGAGAUACUCCUGUGCUGCUGUGUGAGCAUGUCAAUCAGUCAGCUGACCUCAGUAUCAGUGGUCGUGGGCAGUGCAUUCUAAAGCUCUUGGACUUGUUGGGCAAAGUCGGGCACCCAUGCUGGCAUGACUUGGUCGUGACCACAGUGAGUUCUGGUUGUUGAUAGGAGUGUUGUAAGUAGCAUAUGCAUCCUAGUCAGACAUGAGGCGGUCAAGAACUCUUGGAAUUCCCUGCCAUUGCAAAGAAACAAAGAAAAAAUAUCAAUGGCUAACUUUCAUUCACCAUUUUGUCAAGGAAAAAUCUAAACAAUACACCACAUUAUUAAAGAAUAGUUUGGCUGACCAAGAUGUAAUCGUUUGUACUACUCCUGUUCCAUCUAUGGUGCCCAAUUGUGUAGUGCUGUUAAUAAUGUAGAGUUGAGAGGCAUUAUUAGUCAUGUGGAUGUCCUCUGCUGCUGCCUGGUUCCAGGAGCCCUUCCGCUGUUGUGAGUUGAGCCUGCAAAGUCCGUUGCAAUAUUAAAAACGUUUAAUUGCCCAGCCAGCCUCACUGGUUUGAUCGGUCAGUGUAUAGUUUUAUCUUAAGAGUAACAUUCCACGAACUAGAGAGUAGAAUUUAGCUGCUCAACCAAAGUCCCACCCAUAUCCAUAACCCAUGCCUUGUCCACCAGUGGAAUCAACUCUCUGCAAGGAAAGAAAAUAAGAUCCAAGCACUAAUCACGCAAGUUUACCGCAGAUCAUGGCUCACAACGAGCAACGUCCUCUCCUUCUUUAAGUACACGAGGUAAGAAUGUAGCUUGGAAUUUUUGGUGAGGUGCUGCUGAUCUCUCUAUCUCUUGAAGCGCCCGAAGAGUCAACACAUGUUACUUUCGAUGAAUCGGCUGUUUCCCUCCCACAACCGGCCAAGACACACAGCUCGGCUUGCAAAAAUGACGAAGAGGUUUGCAAAUUUUUUUUUCCUUCUCUAUAUACUGAAGUCUCAAGCUUGCAGGGGUGCCAGAAUGCUGAAGCGGAUUCUAACAGCCGGUGAGCUUGUUUACGUUUCGCGUGGUUAUUGGUGAAAUUCAUGGUGUUCUUGCUUUUAAGGUUGCUUUGACUCGACUAUGCUGCCGCGAUGCGUCCCCAUCCUGAGAAGGUGCAAAGCUUACUUGCUAAUUUUUGUAGAUCUUCUAAGCUUUGCUGUUUACAGGCUCAAAGAGGGGGUGAAGAUGCUUUCAUCACUGAAGGCUCCUGGAUGGGUGUUGCUGAUGGUGUUGGGGGCUGGGCCGGAGAAGGUAAGACAAAUCUUUCUUUGAGUCUGUUUCUUCAAAAGAGUUUUUACUGGUUUUCAGGCAUUGAUUCAGGGAUGUAUUCUUGGGAGCUUAUGGGACAUUGUAAGGCAUUGGUUGUAAACAGCAAAGGGAAACCGGACCCCAAGGACGUGCUUGUCAGUGUGAUUUUGUGUAUGUGGAAUGCCCUGUCAACUUCAUUGCUUUGGUAUGGUUAUGUACAUAAUGGUAUGGGUGUGAUGCUUGGCGGUUGGUGUCUUGGAUGAAUGACAUGUCUUCUUUGCUGACGUGGAGACUUGUCAUCACUUGUCUCCACACUCCUUCUCAAGGUUCGCACUGUCAGUCAAAGGAGUGAUUUGAGGAAGAGUUUAUGCUUCACUCGAGGCAAGGACUUCGUCAGGAUAUCAAUGACCAUUGAGCUGGUCGGACAGAAUUCCAGGUUGAUUGUUCCAUUGUUGACUUGAUCCCGGAUGAAAUGGAACCUCAACUCAAUGUGCUUGGUGUGUGAGUGAAAUCUCACAUCCCGAGUCAAUGCUAUUGCUGACAUAUUGUCGCAGUAGAGUUUGACUGCUGGAAUUUGAAUCCCGAGGUGCAGCAAUGUCUUAAGCCAGAUGGCCUCUUUCGCUGCUGCUGCAGCUGCGAUGUAUUCAGAUUUGCAUGAGAACAUCGUAGUGAUCUGUUGCCUCCUGGAACACCAACUAACCAUGUGAUGGUUAUACAUGAAGACAUACCCUGAGGUGGAUCUUUUGUCAUCUGGAUCUCCUGCCCAGUCUACAUCUGUGAAUCCCACCAGGCCAUUGUCUCCAUCUCCUCUUGCAUAUUUCAGUGUGAAUUUCCUUGUGCCACUCAUAUACCUCAUGAUCUACUUCACAACGGCCCAAUGUGAGGGUGAUGGAUUGUCCAGGAACUUUGAGACUGCUCCCACACUAAAUGUAAGGUCAAGCUUAGUUGAGACCAUCAAGUAGAUGAGGCUCCUGACCACUGAAUGGUACAGUGUUGUGGUCUCCUCUUCAGGAGUGUCAUCAGAGGUUGAUGUCAAACUUCUCCAGAGGUACUCUAUGCUUAAUGCUAAUCCGGUGGCUACUCCUAUGGAAGUAGGCUCAAAGUUGUCCAAGGCUUUUAUGUCAUGGAUGUAUUUCUCCUAGGGGAGCUCAAGUACUCCACAUUGCUUAUCAGUGCAAGUUUCCCAGAUCGGUCAUCUCAAAUCUAGCAGUGAGAGAGGCCUUGAUGUGGUGGAUGAGUUAUAUCUGGUUAUUGUAUCGUCCACAUAUAAGGCUAAGAAUAGAAAUCCUUGGCCAUCUCGGUAUAUGUAGAGAUUAUUAUCAGCCGUGCUACGAGUAAAGCCCAACAAGGUCAAAAAGCUGUUAAUUUUAGUGUACCAUGACCUGGGGCUUUGUUUCAGCCCGUAGAGAGCCUUGUGCAAGCGGCAGACUAGAUGCUCCUGUCUGGGACGUAUAAAUCCAAGAGGCUGGGCAACAUACACCUCCUCCUCAAGAUCACCGUUCAGGAAUGCAAUUCUCACAUCAAGUUGAUGGAGCUCCAGGUCAAGCUCAGCUGCAAGACUCAUCAAAACACAAAUUGUUGUCAGCUUUACAACAAGGCUAUAAGUUUCAGAGUAAUCAACUCCUUGGAUUUGAGAGAAACCACGAGCUACAAAGCGUGUCUUGUAGCACUCAAUGCUGCCAUCAGCUCGAUAUUUCUUCUUGAACAGCCAUUUGGCUAUGACUGCCUUCUUGUCGGGAGGGAGGGGAACCAAUGUCCAGGUUCCAUUCUUGAUCAAUGAGUCAUACUCAUCCUGCAUGGCUGCUUGCCACUGUGAGGCAUCAGGAUUGGAGAGAGCAGCUUGGUAGCCACGAGGUUCAACAAUGGAGCUCAUGGCCCAAUAGAAUCCCUUCUUGCGUGGAGCUUGAGCAAGAGAUUCUAAAGCUUUGACCGUUGGCUUGCUCACUUGUCCUGAACGGGUAACAGCUCCAAUCUCUUGACGAGGUGGUGGUGUCAUGAGAGAAUCUGGAGGAGGUGAGCGGGAAGAUCCUCCAACUGUUUCUUCACCAACGAACAGCUCGUCCACAAUAGCAGCAAGAUUCUGCUCAUUGGAUGAAGUAGUGUUGCUGCUAGUAGCCACCGAAGUGACUAGAGGAACUGGUAGCAGUAGAGUUGCUGGAGAAGGCUCAUCACCAAGUGGAAGAGAUGUUCCUCCUUCUGGAACGAGUAGCCUCUGGAUUGCUGGUGUUGGUGGGUGGGUGAGCUCGUCUUCCAGCACUGGGGUCAAGUCCACCAAGUUAGAACUUGAAGGAAUAGUACCUUGAAUGUGGCAAUAAAGAUCUUGCUCAUUGAAAGAGACAUCUCGGCUGACCACGAGCUUCUUGAGAGCAAGAUUAUAGAGGUGAUAGGCCUUGGAAUGAGCAUGAUAGCCCACGAAGAUGGUCUUCUGGCUCCUAGGAUCCAGCUUCUGCCGAGUUGCAUCUGGAAUGCGAGCAUACAUUUUGCAGCCAAAGACCCUCAAGUGCCCUAACUAAGGACACUUCCCAGUCCAAGCUUGAUAAGGAACCACACCAGUGCUCCUCGAUUACGGAUGUAAACAACCAUGUUAAUGGCUUUACCCCAAAAAGAGUUAGGUAUGCUUGCGUGUUGGAGAAGGCAACAAACAGUCUCUAGCAGCAUGCAAUUGAGGUGCUCUGCCACGCCGUUCUGUUGGGGAGUAUGGGCUGUUGUGUACUGGUGAACAAUGCUAGCCUCAACUAAAAAGUUGAGAAACUCUUUGUUUAGGUACUCUCCACCACCAUCCGUGCAUAACACACGAAUCUUUUGGCCAGUACCCAGCUCUUAAAAAGCUUAAAGUGGUUGAACACUUCACUCUUGGCAUGGAGAAGGCUCACCAUAGCAUAUCUGGAAUAGUUAUCGAUAAAAGACACAAAGUACCUCUUGCGGCUGAGUGUUUCCAUGGCAAGUAGCACAUGUCAUUGUGAACCAGAUCCAAUAAGCCUGUAGCUUGGUCCUCCAUGGUUCUUGAUGGAAAAGGAAGGCGAACUUGCUUCCCAAGAUAGCAAGUUUCACACACGCCUAGAUGGCCAGUUGGGAGCAUGAUGCCUUUAGCAUGUUGGUUACGAGCCAAGGCAUGUAGAUCUCGUUCAUUGACAUGCCCCAGACAAGCAUGCCAGAGCUCAAUGGUGUCUUGUGCUCAGAAAGCAAGCACUUGAGUUGGAAAAACCAGUUCUACAUUUAAACAGUAGAGUGUUUCAUACCUCACACCACUGGCUACAGAAGUACCAUCAUGACCAUAGAUGGUGCACCCUUUUGGGAAGAAGGUGGUAGUAAAGCCUUGAUCUGAGGCUACACCUAUAGAAAGAAUUAUAUGCCCUACUUCAAGUACAAAGUGCAUGUGAUGAACCUCCUUAAAAGGUCCAGUGGAUAGCCUGAUCACCACCACGCCACGACCUUCCACCUGGAGUGGUCACUUGUCACCGACAUAAACCUGUUGUAGAGCUUGAAGAGCCUUGUAAGUGUGAAAGGCAGACCUUAAGGGAGUCAUGUGAAAAGAGGCACCACUAUCCAGCCAUAGAACCUCAAGAGCAGACACCAGUGAUGGGUAAAGAGCCAUCAUCAACAACGAGUUGCUCUGGGUAAGCAUGUGCUGGGUGGCAGCCUUCUUUGCAUGACACUCAUGCCCCAUCUUUCCACAAUAGUUGCAAAGACCUUUUUUCUUCUUGGAGAAGUUAGAUCAAGAGCUGGGAGUUGUAGCAGAAGAGAUACGAGGCCCACGGCUAGUGCCUCCUUUCCUCUACUCCCCACUCGAUUGUUUCUUACCAAGAAACAAGGCCUGCUCGCGAGCAGCCUGAGGGGAUCCUUGAUGGCCAACUUGACGCUCAGCAAUCUUGUGCUCUUGAGUAGAUCAGAGUAGAGCUCCUCCAUGGUUUUGCCUGGGACAAAAGAAAGCAUGGAGGACAAUUGUUGCAACUCUGGGGAUACAGAGUAGAGCAAGAAGGCUUUUGCAUAGUCAUCGGAAACUACAGCACCUACUUCCUUCAGCUGCUACAUUAAACCCUUGAGCUUCCCAAUGUAUGUUGCCAUUGUCUCACCAGGCUGCAUGCAUAGGGAGAAAAGUUUCUAGGUCAAAACCAAUUUAGCAUUAGCAGCUUUGACUACAAAGACUUGGGAAAGGGAGUCCCAAUUGGCCUUGGCGGAUUUUUCUAGAUCAAGGAGAUGAAUAAAUUCAUCUCCAAGACUUAGUCCAAUCACGGAAAGGGCUUUGCGGUUCUUAGAGUCCCAAGUAGCUUGCAAAGCUGCUUCUAUAUGUUGAGGUCUCACUUCGGUUCCCUCCACCAAAUCCCAACAAUUUUUUGCCAUUAAAAUUAAUUGGACUUUGGUCUUCCAAGUUGUGAAGUUCUCGCCCAUGAACUUCUGGAGUAGCUUCUCCCAUCCUACAUCCCAGUUGCCAGCUAGGAUGGCCAUGGUGCUCGCUAGGAGAUGUAGUGCGAGGUGGAGUACUGGCAGCCAUUAGUUUCUAGAAGAAAGGACAAAACAGCAAAGUAAGCUAGAAGCGAGGGGGGGGGGGGGGGGUGGGUGGGGGCCGGGAAAAAGCGGUGGGAAACCCUAAAAUGCCAUACGCCAUGCACAUAGAGUGACAAUUAGGGCAGAGGCACGGAUGGACAUCAUGUUGUGCUUGCUUGCGUUCUUGAAUCUGUCGUUCCACCCUAGCAAGGACUACAAAAUCCCUAGCGCGCUCCUACUCGUUGCGUUGCUGUGUUUGCCAGUGUUUCGCCAUCAGGAUCGAAACAAACCCAAUACCAUGUAGAUGUGUGAUUUUGUGUAUGCAGAAUGCUCUGUCGACUUCAUUGCUUUGGUAUGGUUAUGUACAUAACAGUAUGGGUGUGACUCUUGGUGGUUGGUGUCUUGGAUGAAUGACAUGUCUUUUUUGCUGAUGUGGAGACUUGUCAUCACUUGUCUCCACAGUACAAAGGCCAAAGGAUCAGCAACGGUUCUUGUGGCUGCAUUGUUUGAGCAACUAAGCUAGUCGGAUUUGAUGUUUGAGGCUGAGUCGGGUCAUAUGUUUCAGAUACUGUAUGCAGCAAACUUGGGAGACUCGGGGUUCAUCAUAGUUCGCAAUUGGCAAGUAGUUGCAAGCUCGGAGCCCAUGCAGCAUAGUUUUAACUUUCCAUUUCAAGUUGGAACUUUUGGUGACCAUCCGAUGGUUGCAGAGGUACUCUUGCUUUUCCCUUAAGUUCGCUAAUUUUCUGUCUACAGGAAUUCAAGAUCCCUGUCUGCAAGGGGGACAUCAUUGUUUUGGGAAGUGAUGGCCUUUUUGACAAUCUCUUCAACGACGACAUAAUCAAAGUUCUUAAAAAAUCUCUUGGGUCCGACAAAGUCAACUUGAAGGUGAACUCUCGCUGUUGAAGAAUCUCAAGAUUGCUAAUAUUCUCUUCACUUUACAGGCAUGUAGCUGGGGCGCAGGCCGAGCGUUUGGACAGCCCGUUUGCUAGGGCAGCAGCUGUCUUUUGUGCAGGACUUUGAAAAACUGCUCGUAGAGUGUUCUGGCUUGGAAGCUAACGAGUCUUGUUUCGACAUUGGCACACGCAAAGGACUUGACUGUUUACCAAGCCCGGUGAAGAACUUUUUCUGUGAAUAUAAAACACUGGAGGCCCAUUGGAUCCAAUCGUAUCGGAGCAAGCACAGCUCUUGGUUCUUAUACAACGAUAUCAUCACUACGUUUAGUGCUUUUGUGGCUGGAAUGGAUCGUGGAAGGAUGCUUCUUGCCAUCGCAUUGGUGAUCAUGAUCAGCGGCAACAUCUAAUGUUCCAGGCCGGGCUCGUUUUCGGUGAUGAGUCAGCAGGCCGAGCUUUUCAAUUCCGAAUUGCGCCUUCCUGUUGUUAACAAGAUCCACACUCUUCUCGAAAGGACCUCCCGGAGAAUGCUCAUCCAGGGUCAGCCCACGCCACCCUCCGGCCCUUCCGAGGACAACCACCAUCAUGAUUGAAGAGGCGGAUAGCCACGUGGCUGACACGUCACGCAAGAAGACACGUCAGGCUCUUUCCAUCUGGCGGCGAAUUCUCCUCCAAAUCCUCCACCUCCACUUCUUUUCCCAUUCUUCCGCACCUCCGCUCCCUCCCAUUACAGUCACACACCCAGCAUGCGUCCAGGAGGCGCUUGUCUCACCAAGGUGAGGGGAAUGAUAAAGGCAACUUUCCAUUUUUCCCUGUCAACUUCAAGAGACUUGAGAGCCGCUUGGAAUUCCCAGAAGUUCAAAGUCUCCACAAGACUUUCAGGGAUGUCGUGUACAGCUGCGAGCAAUCAGCCGUGGUGGUGGCUUGCCCUUGUUCUGGCGAGAAGAUCUGCAAAGAGGAGCGGCUGCAGUGAGUCUUGAAGAUUCGCAGGUCGUUCGGAUUGGGCAUUGGGCAGCACUGUCAAAGGCAGAUUUUCUCCCACUUGACGUGAUGGAGUCUCAUUGGAAUGCACGUUUGGUGAGAUGAUCAGCGCCUUGGAGACAGGAUUGUAGACCUUGUAAGCCUUGUGUUCAAUGCCAUAGCCUAGGAAAGUGCCUCGUUCGCUUGUUGGAGUGUGUUUUUUUUCUAGUUAUAGAGGGGAUAUGGACGCCAUGGAAGGUGCGCUAAUCCAUUCGAAUUCCACUUUGUGCAGGAACCCUUGACAAUCCUGGACCUCAACAUUGACUUAAACGCGUCUUUUGGUACUUCCGAGAUACGUUUUCUUGCGGUCUUAAGGCCACGAGUCAAGCUUACUGGGCUGGCUUUGGCUAAAUUGUUUAGCCUUCACAAUGCAGUUAGCAGCAAGAAGAAGAGCGUCGUUGCCUGCUCCAGCUGUGAGGCGGAGGCUAGUUCCGCAUGCAAAGAGGCCAUCUGGCUUCGCCGCCUCCUCAACGACACCCGGCCCAACACCAAUCUACUGUGACAAUCAAGGCUACAUCGCCUCGAGCAAACAUCACAAGAUUAAUUCCCGGACGAAACACGCACCACGCUGGGAGACACGUCCGGUUCUUUCCAUGUUCUUGUGAUUCCAAUCUCGAUAAUGCAAUCUUAAUUGAACAUCACAACAGCCUGGAAAUUGAGUCCGCUGCUUCAUCCCACCAAACAAUCUGAUCUCGUGCACAGCAUGAAACGAACAUUCUCUGUGCCUCUCCUGAUA